UGGCUCAGGACGAACGCUGGCGGCGUGCUUAACACAUGCAAGUCGAACGAUGACGAUGGUGCUUGCACCGUCUGAUUAGUGGCGAACGGGUGAGUAACACGUGAGUAACCUGCCCUCCUCUUCGGGAUAACCGCCGGAAACGGUGGCUAAUACCGGAUACGAAUGCCUGCCGCAUGGUGGGUGUUGGAAAGAUUUAUCGGUGGGGGAUGGACUCGCGGCCUAUCAGUUUGUUGGUGAGGUAAUGGCUCACCAAGGCGAUGACGGGUAGCCGGCCUGAGAGGGCGACCGGCCACACUGGGACUGAGACACGGCCCAGACUCCUACGGGAGGCAGCAGUGGGGAAUAUUGCACAAUGGGCGAAAGCCUGAUGCCAGCGACGCCGCGUGGGGGAUGACGGCCUUCGGGUUGUAAACCUCUUUCAGCAGGGAAGAAGCGAGAGUGACGGUACCUGCAGAAGAAGCGCCGGCUAACUACGUGCCAGCCGCAGC
Molecule: ribosomal RNA, 488 nt
Filed under: uncultured bacterium
Lineage: Bacteria
Description: bacterial SSU rRNA
Rfam family: Bacterial small subunit ribosomal RNA
Source: RNAcentral